This 200-nucleotide unclassified non-coding RNA is filed under the name Inocybe sp. RNAcentral describes it as "partial internal transcribed spacer 2". Lineage: Eukaryota; Fungi; Basidiomycota; Agaricomycetes; Agaricales; Inocybaceae. The record is from RNAcentral.
UUAAGUUCAGCGGGUAGUCCUACCUGAUUUGAGGUCAAAUUCGUCAAAUGUUUUGUUGUUAUAAGCAGUUCUGACCAGCAUUAACCAAAGGCAUAGAUAGAUUUAUCACACCAAUAGCAGCUCAGAAUACCACUAAUGCAUUUCAGGGGAGCCAGCUUCAAUUAGAAAGAAAGCCUGCAAAACCCCCACAUCCAAGCGCA